UACGUAGGGUGCGAGCGUUGUCCGGAAUUAUUGGGCGUAAAGAGCUCGUAGGCGGUGUGUCGCGUCGGCCGUGAAAACCUGCAGCUUAACUGUGGGCUUGCGGUCGAUACGGGCAUCACUGGAGUUCGGCAGGGGAGACUGGAAUUCCUGGUGUAGCGGUGAAAUGCGCAGAUAUCGAGAGGAACACCUGCGGCGAAGGCGGGUUGCUGGGCUGAUACUGACGCUGAGGCGCGAAAGCCAGGGGAGCGAACGGG
RNAcentral lists this ribosomal RNA (254 nucleotides) under uncultured prokaryote. RNAcentral's name for it is "partial 16S ribosomal RNA". It matches the Rfam family "Bacterial small subunit ribosomal RNA", at positions 524 to 776 of the family's 1533-position model. The record is from RNAcentral.